CCGAAAGUUUUCCCAAUAGAAGGCGGUUCCUUGGGCAGGCGAGGAUACGCAACAGGUUGGAGCACUUGCAGCCAUACCUGACGAGCUCUGGGACAAACAGGGUUGAACCAACACACACUCACUGUCAUACAAAGUGCUUCGUCUGCAAAACGGUUUCUACGAUUUUGUGGUAAAAACUGAGAAGAGAGGCUGAGCAUGGUGGCGCACACCUUUGAUCACAGCAUAUCUGGGAGGCAGAGGCAAAUGGAUGUCUAAGUUCGAAGCCAGCCUGUCUUUACCAGUUCCAGGCCAGCCAAGACUACACGAUGAGACCCUGCCUAAAAGCAAAACAGUAGACUGAGAAGAGGCUCGGCUGUAAGGCAAUACGGCCGCGCCUAGCCCGGGCCGCCUCAGCCUGCACCCGCCCUGAAGCCCCGUGCACUCACUGAGGUGAACCAUGGUGCAGCGGCGUGCGGCUCUCCGGCUGUCCCCCCGCACAAACAAACCCCUCCGAGCCUGAAGCCUGAAAGAGCGCCCUCAAAGGGCCGCGCACACACACACCGGAGGGCCCUUGCGGAAGCGGCCGGCCGCUCGCCCCGCCCCUUCCGAUUUCUCUUCCUCUGCAUGCCGGAAAGCAACAAGGCUCCGGGGUCUGUCGACUGCUGCGGAAGAGGUAGAUGUGGCCCAGCCGUAGGAAGAUGAAGUGCAUCUCAGCAGCAUCAACUACAAAACUAACAGUUCGCUCAUAGCACGCCUUGGCUUCAGCAUGAUUUCCACUUAGAAAAUAGAGAUGGCCCUUCACACCCCA
Long non-coding RNA from Meriones unguiculatus (Mongolian gerbil), 787 nucleotides. RefSeq lists it as uncharacterized. The record is from RefSeq and is a predicted model, not a curated record. Lineage: Eukaryota; Metazoa; Chordata; Mammalia; Rodentia; Muridae. The transcript has 3 exons.